UGGGGAAUAUUGCACAAUGGGCGCAAGCCUGAUGCAGCCAUGCCGCGUGUGUGAAGAAGGCCUUCGGGUUGUAAAGCACUUUCAGCGAGGAGGAAGGUGGUGGACUUAAUACGUUCAUCAAUUGACGUUACUCGCAGAAGAAGCACCGGCUAACUCCGUGCCAGCAGCCGCGGUAAUACGGAGGGUGCAAGCGUUAAUCGGAAUUACUGGGCGUAAAGCGCACGCAGGCGGUUUGUUAAGUCAGAUGUGAAAUCCCCGGGCUCAACCUGGGAACUGCAUUUGAAACUGGCAAGCUAGAGUCUCGUAGAGGGGGGUAGAAUUCCAGGUGUAGCGGUGAAAUGCGUAGAGAUCUGGAGGAAUACCGGUGGCGAAGGCGGCCCCCUGGACGAAGACUGACGCUCAGGUGCGAAAGCGUGGGGCAGCAAACAGGAUUAGAUACCCUGGUAGUACACGCUGUAAACGAUGUCGAUUUUGGAGGUUGUGCCCUUGAGGCGUGGCUUCCGGAGCUAACGCGUUAAAUCGACCGCCU
This 529-nucleotide ribosomal RNA is filed under the name uncultured bacterium. RNAcentral's name for it is "partial 16S ribosomal RNA". It matches the Rfam family "Bacterial small subunit ribosomal RNA", at positions 355 to 874 of the family's 1533-position model. The record is from RNAcentral.